This 496-nucleotide ribosomal RNA is filed under the name uncultured bacterium. RNAcentral describes it as "partial 16S ribosomal RNA". It matches the Rfam family "Bacterial small subunit ribosomal RNA", at positions 28 to 506 of the family's 1533-position model. The record is from RNAcentral.
GAUGAACGCUGGCGGCGUGCCUAAUACAUGCAAGUCGAGCGAACGGACGAGAAGCUUGCUUCUCUGAUGUUAGCGGCGGACGGGUGAGUAACACGUGGAUAACCUACCUAUAAGACUGGGAUAACUUCGGGAAACCGGAGCUAAUACCGGAUAAUAUUUUGAACCGCAUGGUUCAAAAGUGAAAGACGGUCUUGCUGUCACUUAUAGAUGGAUCCGCGCUGCAUUAGCUAGUUGGUAAGGUAACGGCUUACCAAGGCAACGAUGCAUAGCCGACCUGAGAGGGUGAUCGGCCACACUGGAACUGAGACACGGUCCAGACUCCUACGGGAGGCAGCAGUAGGGAAUCUUCCGCAAUGGGCGAAAGCCUGACGGAGCAACGCCGCGUGAGUGAUGAAGGUCUUCGGAUCGUAAAACUCUGUUAUUAGGGAAGAACAUAUGUGUAAGUAACUGUGCACAUCUGGACGGUACCUAAUCAGAAAGCCACGGCGAACUACGU